UAGCCGCCUCCCCAUCUGCCGCCCCGCCCGACCCGCUCACCCCGCCGCUCCGCCCGUCCCGCUCGCCCCCUUCCCAGCCGCUCACCCCGCCCGUCAGCUCGCCGUGGCCGAUGACCACGCCACCAGAGACCGCGGACCUUGGCGCAGGCCUGUGCUCCCGAGUGGUGGUCCCUCCUCGUUGCCACCCCUCUCCUCUGCCCUGUGUCGGAUCCGAGGCGUGCGGGCGCGGAGGCGAGCUUCUCCAGCGGUGGCCGCCACCCUCUCGUCUCCUCAAUCCUCUUCAUAUCAUCCCGCGUUCUCGAUCUACGCCGCCACGUGCUGUGGUUCUGGAUUGGGCGCAGGCUGCCGCCAUUGGAGAGUAGCGGCGGUGAGGUCUUUAGCUCGGGUGCGAGGAGCAGGGGGGUGAGGUGGACGGUGUUGUGGCGAAGAAAUGAUUGAUGCGGUCGGCAGCGAGCGCCGGUGAGCGACGAGGAUGCUACCAUCUCUCCUAUAUCCUCCCAGAUUCUCGAUUGGACCGGGGGACAGACGCCGCCACAGGCCACCGGGGACGCCUCUGCAUUGUCGUCGGCUGGACGAGGAAAACAGCAAGAUGCUGGCCUAUGCAUCGGACGUGGGCUGCUUCAGCUUUAGGGGAGAUUUGACUAUGGCGCAAGGUCCCCCACUUCCUUGUUGUGGCACUGCAGCGUCAUGGGCCCUUCUGAAGGGAGAGGGAGGCACAUCGGAGGGUGGUAGCAGGUGCGUCUUGCUAAAGCAACCAGUGGUUGUCGUGGCCUGAAGCAGCAAGUAUUGUGGAGAUUGAUGGACUAGGUGCUUGCAGCCGCAGUCCAUCGCGCUCUCGGUUGCUGACCUUGAGGUCCAGCGGCAACUGCCCGUCACUUAGGGGAUGCUUCUAAGCUGCAAUGCUCCAUAUCCGAUGCAAUAUAUUUCUGCUUUAUUGAAGAGGACUAACUUGUGCUGGGAAAGAUUCCUGAAGGUGAUGUCAGAUCAUUGGUAAAUAACAAGGAAUCCUUGGAACCUGUCAUCCUGUAGUAUUUGUCUGCGAUAGGUAUGCAUUCUGUACAGCUAAGCAGAGUAUUCCAGAUUGAGUAAUGCUAGAGAUACAAACAUAUUAUAUACUCCCUCCUUCCAUCUAUAUAGGGCCUAAUGCAUUUUUUAAGACCGCGUUUGACUAUUGACAAGAUUAAUAGUACAUGACAUGCACAAUGUGAAAAUUAUAUCAUUGAAAGCUCCUUUCACACACGAAUUUAACGACGUGCUUUGUGUAAGUUGCAUGUCAUAUAUUGUUGCUCUAAUAUUUGGUCAAAGUUAGCCUUGAAAAACACAUUAGGCCCUAUAUAGAUGGAAGGAGGGAGUAUACAUUUUAAUGCUUUAGCUUCCAUAGUGAGAGCAAGUUGCAAGACCAGAUGCCAUGCGGUCUUACUGCGAGCUCGUCCAGUUCAUGGUGACUUGGUGAUGACUCAAAUCCACCUACCUCUUUCUCUCCGUGUCUCCUUUUGUUGCUGUUUGUUGGAACUUUGGAUUGCGCUGGCUUGAUGGCUGUUUCGGAUUAAUCAAAGGAUUUUGUUUAGCUUAGUUUCAUUACGGGCAAGACUAAGAUAGUCGUUCUUUAGUGUGGGUUAAAUUAAUCAGGGGAUUUGAAGAACGGUUCAAUUGAUCUGUACUAAGCAAACCUGUGUGCUUGCAAUCACGUAUGGUUUUAGCCAUGUUGCUGCUAGAAAGCUUCCUUCAAUUGAACCGAUCUUCUCAGUAGCUAAUGGAGCGCAUUGGCAGGAACAGAGUGGCCAACUGAAUCUGAUAGUCUGGUUUCUUUGUACUCAUAUCUUGUAGAGUAGUUUCCUAACUGAUUGUUUGGCAACAAGUAUUUUGAAGAACUCAAACUCAUGGUAACAAAUGAACUAGCAAAGAGAGCCAUUUAUACCUCUCUUCUGUAAGAUAAUCCCGUGAAGGACACACACAUAAAAGCCAUGAAGGAUGAAGAAAGAAUUAUUGAUCUAUUAUUAUGUUUCUUCUUUGCAAAUAUAUUGCUAUGGUUGUUAGCGAUGUAUACGCCCGAGUGGGCUAAUGUAUAGUUGUAUUGGUUUAGCUUAUCGACCUUGCCGCGUUCAUGUUUUUAUUUCCUUUUGUUCAUGAUGAUUGUUUUUUUUGUGCAGACCUAGAUUGUAGGAUUGCAUGAGUUGGGGCUUGCGAUUGCCCAUUGUGGUGCACAGGUAGAUUGUAGGAUGUACUUGCCGAAAUGAGCAUGGUCGCCAUGCUAAUUGUUCAAAUAUUCUAUGGUUAUUUCAGUGCUUAUCUCAGUUACUUGAUUUCUUUUGCAGUACUGCCAGGGGUGGCUGUUUGUUUACUGCAGGGGGUGUUGAUCUGCUGCCCCAUUAUUUGAUUACAUGUUUGAUGCUCUCCAAAAAAUGCUACAAAGAAUCAUAAGAAACUUCUCGUGAUAGAUUUACCAUUAGGGAUAUUGCCAAAUGUUUACUUCUAAUUCAUUAGCAUAUCCUCUGUUUUUUUUAAUUAAUUGUUGCCUCCUGUUUUUUGUUUAUCUUAGCCUUCUGGUGCUUUUGGUGUAUGGGCAAAACAGGUCAGAGUACAAAGUGGUGAAUUGCAUUUCACAUGCCAAGAUAAACAAAGAAUAAAAAAAGAAAACAUGGUAUUCUCUAACACAAGAGCAUGAUACCUUGGGUCCAUUGGUGCAGACCAAGAGAUAAGAACUACUUAUGCUGCAAUAGUUUCAGUGGAAGUAUAGUCAGGUGUUUAAUUGUUUUUUUACAGUUUUAGCUAAUUGGCUGGGUAUCCACUUUAUCUUUUGUGCUUGCACAUAUAAUCGAUUCUCUGGUCCAUACUUGCAUGUUCUCUAAUUAUCUUGGAGUGCUUGCAAGUAAUUAGAACAUAUCUUGGUCCAUACUUGCAUUAGAAUAUGCCACAUAGAAGGAUGUGGCAUAUCUUGGAAUAAGAAUGGCCACACGAGCAUUUUGUCAUGAUAUUGUAAUGAGUGGUCGAUACUUGUGGCAGUGCUACAAUGGUGCUAUGUUGCAUGUUUGCACAAGAUGCCUGUAAAUUCUUGAUCUUCGUCGUGCCUCCUGCUUACUAUUAGUUCAAUUGAGCCCAAUCUUUCUGGUCGUAUUGCUACGCGCUUAUGAUUAGUUGCUCUAUUUCUUGGUUGUUGUAUUGUAGGAUAGGGAGGCAGAAGAGAGGACAUGCCGGGGAAUGAAGGAGAACAAACAGUGUCUCAGGCACACAAGCUAAAGGUUCACCAAGUUCUGGGAAAGAAAAGUUUCCCUAGACAUGUGGCGGUGGCUGUCAAGACAAGAGCGGCGCUGUGAGCGACAGCCCUCGAUCGUCUUCCUUGUGGAAUCAGGUACGCGUCGUCCAUCAUGGGUGUUGGCGGGUGGCCGGAGGCGGCUACAUCAGGCCAGUGUCCGUGAUCAAGACUGACACCGGGAAGGCUGCCGGUAUGUAGUAUGCUCCUCAUCUCCUCCAACUUAUGUUUUGGUAGCACGUCUCCAUCAUUGUCUACAGUUGUGCACUCAAUUCAAAUGAUUAUUCUCCGUUCUUUGCCUCAGAACUACAUAUGAGAGGUACAAAGGGUUGGCCAAGAUACUCAAUUAAGCUAUUCGAUUUAAGGUAUACUUCUAUCGCUUCCUUCUAUCCUUUUUGUUCAACUUCUCAUGUGUAUUGUUAGCUUUUUCUCAAGCUUUUUUUUAAUCUAGAACCUCAAAUAUAAGUACAUUUUGCUGAUUAGUGAGUAAAUCAACCGGCAAUAGUUGGUAUAUAUUUGUUGUAGGUUUGAUGUCACCUAUUCAUUCUUUUUCUUUUUGAGAUGCUUUGUCUUUACAAUGCAGCAUUUGUUUCUUCAUAACUAUAUUACCGCUUACAUUGCUGGCAAUGGGAACUAAAGAAAUCUUUGAGGCUACUUGUGAAGCUCUAUUGUUGAUGCCAGAUUUGUACAUUUGAGUAGUGUUAUAUCCAUGUAUAAAUGCAGACUUCGUUGAAGCUAUAUUUUAUAAACCAAUCAGCCAUGUUUUUUCUUUGCUGCUGCGGUUGCCAUGUGUCACGUAGUUAUAUGUGCGUGUUCAUAAUUAUAAUUGCACUUUGUCUCCCUUUGCAGGUGUGAUAUAUGUGUGUUCAUAAUUAUAUGUUAGUCCUAAUUUUCAAAUCAUGCCCACAGCUUGUGGAGUGUUAAAAUCUAAUAUCUCUAAUUUCCGCAUCAAGCUAUGGUUCCCCUGUUUAGCAUUUACUUUCUAUUAAUUGCUUUGAUUUAAUGUUUAAGAUUUUUGCUUUACCGAUGUUUGAUCUAGAUUAGCAAUAAAACACACUCAAAAUUAGGUGUUCUUCCUUGGUUAGCUGUCUGCAUUUCUUAUGUUGGAUUGGUUCAGGCCAGGGUGUAUCGCUCUUUUUCCUUGCCUUUCACAGGUCCUUUGCUGAUGUUGGUUGUGUCCUUGCUGCUUGGAGAGGGGGUGAGGGCAGAGGACUUUGAUGCCAGAAAUAGGUGAGUAUUUUCAGGUCCACUACACCAAAGAAAAGCUGAAAGAGUACAUCAAACCAGAUGAUGACACACUCAAGGUCAAGCUCGCAAACAGCAGUCUGCACACCAGUUGUCGUAUCAUGCUGGGAACAGACAAGAGAGCCACAAUAACCAGAAACUGGUCAGAGUUCUGCCACCGUGCAAACAUCCAUGAAGGAUGUAUCUGCGCCUUUUGUUUCAAGGUUACCGUAGAGCACCGCCUGACUCUCAUCGUCCAUGUUCUCUAGACGGACCAUCUACAGCAACCCAUGCCUUUUGCAUGCAUAGCCUGUCGUCUUAAGAUCUAAUUUGCCUCUAUGAUAAGAUGAACCUUACCUGUGGUUGCCGACGAUGCCAUACGUUGCUUUUGUACAACUGCUGGUGAUAUUAUAACCUAUGUAACCCCAGUUAUUAUUACCCGGCAGCACAUCCAUCUAUUGAUCUUACGUAUGAUUUUCUA
Molecule: long non-coding RNA, 4955 nt
Organism: Triticum aestivum (bread wheat)
Lineage: Eukaryota; Viridiplantae; Streptophyta; Magnoliopsida; Poales; Poaceae
Exons: 7
Source: RefSeq, a predicted model, not a curated record